UAGGAGCUCGGAUGGAAUUUAGAAGGUGGUCAACCAUCGUAGAAAUUUGGAUGGAGUCUGAUUACUGUAAAAAUCCCAUUGUCAGAGAAGCUUGGAUGCUGAUGAAGUCCGGAUGAAGUUCAGAGUAGAGUCAUCCGUGGUCGGAAGAAGUUUGGAAGAGAUUCGGAGGAUAAUCGAUCAUCAUGGAAAAUUGGCUGCUAGUGGAGUUCGGAGGGUAUUUGGAGCAGUCCAGUAGAUGGAUGAGGAAGCUCGUUGUCGGAGAAGUCCAAAUGAUAUUAUGGAAGCUCGAACGGUCGAGGG
This 300-nucleotide long non-coding RNA is filed under the name Elaeis guineensis (African oil palm). RNAcentral describes it as "long non-coding RNA (EGUI_LNC053500)". The record is from RNAcentral. Lineage: Eukaryota; Viridiplantae; Streptophyta; Magnoliopsida; Arecales; Arecaceae.